This 406-nucleotide ribosomal RNA is filed under the name uncultured bacterium. Its description in RNAcentral is "partial 16S ribosomal RNA". It matches the Rfam family "Bacterial small subunit ribosomal RNA", at positions 30 to 526 of the family's 1533-position model. The record is from RNAcentral.
AUUGAACGCUAGCGGCAGGCUUAACACAUGCAAGUCGAACGAGUGGCGGACGGGUGAGUAAUAUCUGGGAAACUGCCCGAUGGAGGGGGAUAACUACUGGAAAGGGUGGCUAAUACCGCAUACUAUCGGAUGUGCCCAGAUCGGAUUAGCUAGUUGGGGGGGUAAAGGCUCACCUAGGCGACGAUCCCUAGCUGGUCUGCGAGGAUGACCAGCCACACGGGAACUGAGACACGGCCCAGACUCCUACGGGAGGCAGCAGUGGGGAAUAUUGCACAAUGGGGGAAAGCCUGAUGCAGCCAUGCCGCGUGUAUGAAGAAGGCCUUCGGGUUGUAAAGUACUUUUGGCAGGGAAGCGUUACCCGCAGAAGAAGCACCGGCUAACUCCGUGCCAGCAGCCGCGGUAAUAC